CCUACGGGUGGCAGCAGUGAGGAAUAUUGGGCAAUGGACGCAACCCUGACCCAGCCAUGCCGCGUGCGUGAUGAAGGUCUUCGGAUUGUAAAGCUCUUUUGGUUGUGACGAUGAUGUCGGUAGCUUUUAAAGAAGCCCCGGCUAACUUCGUGCCAGCAGGCGCGGUAAUACGAAGGGGGCCAGCGUUGUUCGGAAUUACUGGGCGUAAAGGGAGUGUAGUCGGUUUAGUAAUAUAGUGGUGAAAUCCCAGGGCUUAACUUUGGAAUUGCCAUUAUAACUAUUAGACUAGAGUUACAGCGAGGAUAGUGGAAUACCCAGUGUAGAGGUGAAAUGCGUAGAUAUUAGGAAGAACACCGAUGGCGAAGGCGACUAUCUGGCUGUACAUUGACGCUGAGGCUCGAAAGCGUGGGGAUCAAACAGGAUUAGAUACCCUAGUAGUC
Molecule: ribosomal RNA, 440 nt
Filed under: uncultured bacterium
Lineage: Bacteria
Description: partial 16S ribosomal RNA
Rfam family: Bacterial small subunit ribosomal RNA
Source: RNAcentral